AAGACAAUAGGUGAAAGAAUGAUUGUGUAAAAAAAGAAAUGUAUCGCUAACCUGAAAAUAGGUCCAAAAUGACGUUGAAGAUAAAAAUUCUGAGUUCUUCACUUGACCACUGAUAUUGGAAACUUGCAAAAUAUCUAAGUUAUCUUGGUUUAAUACCAAGAGAUCGACCUUGAUCUUGGCCCAGCUGGUACGUAGUUUCAAGUGCUCUAAAUUUCCUCCCUCUUCAACAGGCGCGCCAGGGAUUAACAUUAAAUAUAAUUAAAUUGUUACUCACUUAUCUAAUUAGUUCAGGUGUGACAUAAAAAUCCAUAUUUCGUGGGAAAUAUUUCUAUUUAUUUAAAUGACACUUAAUAAGUUUUUAUUUUAAAAGUACUGUACAGUACAACAACAGUAAUAUGUUCUAUUAGCAAUUCGAUUUCAAUUCGCGGGGGCCUGAAAUCUUUUAUGCUUAAGAAUUAUAAAGUGGAUUUCUUGGGAAAUUCCAAGGUUGCGUUUCACUUCCGAGUAACGGGCGGAGGUAUGCAGUCUCUGAAUGCCCUCUAGUUUCAACUGUAAUC
Non-coding RNA from Paramuricea clavata, 557 nucleotides. The record is from the annotation of a GenBank genome assembly. Lineage: Eukaryota; Metazoa; Cnidaria; Anthozoa; Malacalcyonacea; Plexauridae.